GCCUUGCCAGCCCGCUCAGAACCUUAAAGGAAUUGACGGGGGCCCGCACAAGCGGUGGAGCAUGUGGUUUAAUUCGAUGAUACGCGAGGAACCUUACCUGGGCUCAAAUGUAUGUUGACGUAUUCUGAAAGGGAUACUUCUUCGGACAAUAUACAAGGUGCUGCAUGGUUGUCGUCAGCUCGUGCCGUGAGGUGUCGGGUUAAGUCCCAUAACGAGCGCAACCCCUAUCAUUAGUUGCCAUCAGGUCAAGCUGGGGACUCUAAUGAAACUGCCUACGCAAGUAGUGAGGAAGGUGGGGAUGACGUCAAAUCAGCACGGCCCUUACGUCCAGGGCUACACACGUGCUACAAUGGCCGGUACAAAGGGUUGCCAAGCCGCGAGGUGGGGCUAAUCCCAUAAAACCGAUCGUAGUCCGGAUCGCAGUCUGCAACUCGACUGCGUGAAGUCGGAAUCGCUAGUAAUCGUGAAUCAGAAUGUCACGGUGAAUACGUUCCCGGGCCUU
RNAcentral lists this ribosomal RNA (502 nucleotides) under uncultured Sphingobacteriales bacterium. Its description in RNAcentral is "partial 16S ribosomal RNA". It matches the Rfam family "Bacterial small subunit ribosomal RNA", at positions 903 to 1382 of the family's 1533-position model. The record is from RNAcentral. Lineage: Bacteria; Pseudomonadati; Bacteroidota; Sphingobacteriia; Sphingobacteriales.